UACGUAGGGUGCAAGCGUUGUCCGGAUUUAUUGGGCGUAAAGGGCUCGUAGGUGGCCAACUAAGUCAGACGUGAAAUCCCUCGGCUUAACCGGGGAACUGCGUCUGAUACUGGAUGGCUUGAGUUCGGGAGAGGUGAGUGGAACUGCGAGUGUAGAGGUGAAAUUCGUAGAUAUUCGCAAGAACACCAGUGGCGAAGGCGGCUCACUGGCCCGAUACUGACGCUGAGGUGCGAAAGCGUGGGGAGCAAACAGG
Molecule: ribosomal RNA, 253 nt
Filed under: uncultured bacterium
Lineage: Bacteria
Description: partial 16S ribosomal RNA
Rfam family: Bacterial small subunit ribosomal RNA
Source: RNAcentral